AUUGAACGCUGGCGGCAGGCCUAACACAUGCAAGUCGAGCGGUUGAAGGGAGCUUGCUCCUGGAUUCAGCGGCGGACGGGUGAGUAAUGCCUAGGAAUCUGCCUGGUAGUGGGGGAUAACGUCCGGAAACGGGCGCUAAUACCGCAUACGUCCUGAGGGAGAAAGUGGGGGAUCUUCGGACCUCACGCUAUCAGAUGAGCCUAGGUCGGAUUAGCUAGUUGGUGGGGUAAAGGCCUACCAAGGCGACGAUCCGUAACUGGUCUGAGAGGAUGAUCAGUCACACUGGAACUGAGACACGGUCCAGACUCCUACGGGAGGCAGCAGUGGGGAAUAUUGGACAAUGGGCGAAAGCCUGAUCCAGCCAUGCCGCGUGUGUGAAGAAGGUCUUCGGAUUGUAAAGCACUUUAAGUUGGGAGGAAGGGCAGUAAGUUAAUACCUUGCUGAUUUGACGUUACCAACAGAAUAAGCACCGGCUAACUUCGUG
This 484-nucleotide ribosomal RNA is filed under the name uncultured bacterium. RNAcentral describes it as "partial 16S ribosomal RNA". It matches the Rfam family "Bacterial small subunit ribosomal RNA", at positions 30 to 507 of the family's 1533-position model. The record is from RNAcentral.